UACAAUAAAAAAUACAAAAAAAAAAAAUUUUUAAACUUUUUUACUCUUAGGUUAAGAAUAAAGUGAUAAUUAAAUACACUCCUUACACAUCAUUUCCGUUGAAUAAGAUGCUUCUUCAAUCAUUGGACGAUGGAUACAAGGUCUUCAAUUAUUGGGCAAUGCUCGCAUGGUUCGUCAAUUAUUGGACAAUGGUUACGUUUUUAUUCCAUUAUCUUCAAUCAAUAACACUAAACUGACCUGAGCUGCUACGGUUGUAACUGAUUUUGAUUAUAUUUAUUUUGAUACUA
This is a long non-coding RNA of Drosophila willistoni, 287 nucleotides long. RefSeq lists it as uncharacterized. The record is from RefSeq and is a predicted model, not a curated record. The transcript has 2 exons. NCBI's taxonomy places the organism in Eukaryota, Metazoa, Arthropoda, Insecta, Diptera, Drosophilidae.